Molecule: small nucleolar RNA, 205 nt
Filed under: Myotis davidii
Lineage: Eukaryota; Metazoa; Chordata; Mammalia; Chiroptera; Vespertilionidae
Description: Small nucleolar RNA U3
Rfam family: Small nucleolar RNA U3
About the family: Small nucleolar RNAs (snoRNAs) are involved in the processing and modification of rRNA in the nucleolus. There are two main classes of snoRNAs: the box C/D class, and the box H/ACA class. U3 snoRNA is a member of the box C/D class.
Source: Rfam by way of RNAcentral
CAGACUGUGCUUUCAGGCUCACUCCUAGUUUGUUACUGGAGAAGUUUCUCUGACCGUGUAGAGCACCCGAAACCGUGAGGAGGCGCAGCGUUCUCUCCUGAGCGUGAAGCCGCCUCUUGGCUUGCUUCUGCAGCUGCCAGUAGCCACUGAUGAUCGUUCUCUUCCUGAUGGAAGAGUCAGAGGGAGAGAAUGCUUUCUGAGUGGC